Long non-coding RNA from Rhea pennata, 545 nucleotides. RefSeq lists it as uncharacterized. The transcript has 7 exons. Lineage: Eukaryota; Metazoa; Chordata; Aves; Rheiformes; Rheidae. The record is from RefSeq and is a predicted model, not a curated record.
CAGGGGAACGUGCAGAAGAAUGAUGGCCGGUGCAAAUGGAAGCCCUGGAAAGCCAUAAGUGCGUUUUCAGAAACCUAAUGGGAGAGGAGGACGUUCGGCAGUGUUACAGGAGGUCUGUGCCUCAGCUGCUCCCGCUGACUUCUAUAGGACCUUCUGUCUGUUGGAUCUUCAGUAAAUCAGGCUCCAUGUAUCCAAAGUGUUUGCAUUUCAGACAGGACAUGUAAAAUUACUGUGACAACUCUCGCAUUUUCCAGCUGAGGAUCACAGUAAAUAUGGGAUUGGUCAAGUGUAAGAGAACCUCUUUGCUCAGAGAGAGGAAGAGAACACAAGAGAAGAUGACAGUCCUUAAAGAUUCUGGAAGAAGAUGUCAGACUGAUGAACCAGGAAAAACUUACUUCUAAGUAGCAGAACUACCUCCACUUUGUGUCCUAUUGGAAGGAGGUAAAUAGUGUUUUUUGAACAGAGCCUGGCUUCUAGAGGACACUUUGCAGAAGCUCUGGGAAUAACAUAUCAGCAAAAGGAACAACGAUGACGACGACAACAAC